AACGCACAUUGCGCUCCCUGGUAUUCCGGGGAGCAUGCCUGUUUGAGUGUCAUGAACUCUUCAACCCACUGGUUCCUUGUUGAACUGGGUGGAGUUUGGAUCUUGAGCGUUUUGCUGGUCACUAGCUGAUCUUGCGAUCGGUGAAGGCGAAGCUCGUUCGUAAUACAUUAGCAUCUCAAUUUGAGUUGUUCGGAUUGACUUGGCGUAAUAGAAUAUUCGCUGAGGACACCUUUGUAAUGAAGGCGGCCGAACCUUGAAGUAGAAGCUUCUAGAAUCCUAAUUAACUUUAAGAUUAGACCUCAGAUCAGGCAGGAUUACCCGCUGAACUUAA
Molecule: unclassified non-coding RNA, 331 nt
Filed under: uncultured fungus
Lineage: Eukaryota; Fungi
Description: partial contains 5.8S ribosomal RNA, internal transcribed spacer 2, and large subunit ribosomal RNA
Rfam family: 5.8S ribosomal RNA (bases 1-52)
Source: RNAcentral